Long non-coding RNA from Bubalus bubalis (water buffalo), 677 nucleotides. RefSeq lists it as uncharacterized. NCBI's taxonomy places the organism in Eukaryota, Metazoa, Chordata, Mammalia, Artiodactyla, Bovidae. The record is from RefSeq and is a predicted model, not a curated record. The transcript is spliced from 3 exons.
UGAACUAAUUAAACGGGUUCUUAUAAGAAUACAGACGGAUUUUAAGUAGCACAGGCUCUCCGACUGACUGGAAAGCAAGUCAGCAGCAUGUUGUGAGAUUCCUCUUCAAGCAAGGGUCACAUGAGUAGGAACUGAGAGUGGUCUAGCCACUGAGAGCGACCCCAAGCACCAGCCCCAAGAAAUGGGGACUUGGAUCCUACAACCACAGCACUAAGCUCUGCCAGCAACUUAGAUGGGAGGCCUGAGGUCCACAUGAGAACACAGCCCCAGCCAACACCUCACUUUCAGCUUUGCAAGGCCCUGAACUGUGAACCUGGUUAUGCCACACCAAAACUUCUGACCUGCAGAAACUGUUGCACAGAACAUUUAAUAUCAUCGCAGCACUGCUUAUAAUAGCCAGGACAUGGAAGCAACCUAGAUGUCCAUCAGCAGAUGAAUGGAUAAGAAAGGACAUGAAGACCGAAGACACCAUAGUUCGAUGGCUCACACUUCACACUCACUAUGUAUUUAGAAACAUUGAAGUCAUCUCCCGAUCAUCUUCACCAAGAGCAUCAACAUCAAGUGAAAUGGGCUUGAUACAUUCAGUGCUAAUUUGAAAGCUGUGUCAAAAGCAAAUUUUGCUGAAAUGGAAAUACUAAUAAAACUGGGGGCUCAGAAGGAGUCCAUUAUCCUCCUCA